This 492-nucleotide ribosomal RNA is filed under the name uncultured bacterium. RNAcentral's name for it is "partial 16S ribosomal RNA". It matches the Rfam family "Bacterial small subunit ribosomal RNA", at positions 29 to 507 of the family's 1533-position model. The record is from RNAcentral.
AGUGAACGCUGGCGGUAGGCCUAACACAUGCAAGUCGAACGGCAGCACAGUAAGAGCUUGCUCUUACGGGUGGCGAGUGGCGGACGGGUGAGGAAUACAUCGGAAUCUACUUUUUCGUGGGGGAUAACGUAGGGAAACUUACGCUAAUACCGCAUACGACCUACGGGUGAAAGCAGGGGAUCUUCGGACCUUGCGCGAUUGAAUGAGCCGAUGUCGGAUUAGCUAGUUGGCGGGGUAAAGGCCCACCAAGGCGACGAUCCGUAGCUGGUCUGAGAGGAUGAUCAGCCACACUGGAACUGAGACACGGUCCAGACUCCUACGGGAGGCAGCAGUGGGGAAUAUUGGAGAAUGGGCGCAAGCCUGAUCCAGCCAUACCGCGUGGGUGAAGAAGGCCUUAGGGUUGUAAAGCCCUUUUGUUGGGAAAGAAAAGCAGCAGGUUAAUACCCCGCUGUUCUGACGGUACCCAAAGAAUAAGCACCGGCUAACUUCGUG